RNAcentral lists this long non-coding RNA (6269 nucleotides) under Populus trichocarpa (black cottonwood). RNAcentral's name for it is "long non-coding RNA (PTRI_LNC001884)". The record is from RNAcentral. Lineage: Eukaryota; Viridiplantae; Streptophyta; Magnoliopsida; Malpighiales; Salicaceae.
UUUACUCAAAACACACUAACCCUUAGUGAUCAAUUGAUUUCUUGGUUUUACGGUGGGUAUUAUCUAGUUAGUUUUAGUAUAUAUUAUAAGAUAAUGUUUGAUUACUAUAUAUAUAGUAUAACUUCCUUCCGUAUAAAACUGUCAAUUUGUAGAUCUAUCUACUCAAAUUAUAUGUAUUUAUAUAAAUUAAUAGGAUCUAUGGGUUGAUUCAAUAAUUAAUGAGGUUACAUAUAUAGUGGAUAAGACGCAUUUAUUACCCCUUUAAUAAAUGCUGAAAUAGCAAACCCAUACACCAUAUCUAUAUUAAUUUUUUCAAGAUCAUCAGAAACUGUGUUCUAGAAAUCAGAUUUGAUAAAAGGAAUUUGUUUUUGUAACUGUAUCCAUGUCUGUGCAUGUUUUAAAAGUCUAUUUUAUUUGAAAAAAUUUUAAAUUAAUAAUUUUUUAAUAUUUAUAAAAGAAAAUUAAUAUUGUCAUAACCCAAUUUUUGACCCUUUUAUUUUAAUUUUUAUUAUUAUUUUAUUUACUGAGAAAUAAUGAAAAAAAAUAAUGAAAAAAUGAUGAUGUAAAAUAAGUAAAAAUGAAAUAAUGAAGAAUGAAUUAAAAUUUGGGUUAAGGCCAACAUGUUUGGAAGUUUAGAGAUUAAUUAAACUCUUGACUAGUUUAAUUAAUUAAAUCAAGGGCUUAAUUAAAAAAUUGAUAAAUUUUUAGACUUAAUUGAACUUGGAAUUAAUUUAAUUAAUGGAAUCAAGGACUUAAUUGAAGAAAUAUCAAAGUUUGGGGUUUAAUUGGGGUCCAAAUUACAGCAGAUUAAAGUCCAAGGACUAUCUUGUAAAAGGCACCUAAAUUAAGGGGUCUAAUUACAAUUUAACUAGGGGCUUAAUUACAAAAAUUUCAAAACCGCAAGGACCAAAUUGAAAUUAGCGGUUGAAUGGAAAACGGAGCCGUUUCUUGGACGACUGUUCACUGUCUUCUUCCUCCGUUUCAUCCGUUGGCAGCCAACGCGUACGUUUCUUCAUUGAAGGCGUCGGUUACAGAGCAUUUAGGAGGCCGGCCGUUACCACCACCGGGGCUGUCUCUGGCCUUAUAAAAGCUGGGCAAAGGCAACCUCGCGCAGGGGGAGAAAACUGGAAAAAAAAAAGAGCAGAACCGAGGAGAGGAAGAAGAAAACAGGGGAGGCACUGGACUGGGGAAACAGGGAAGACCACGAACAGAAAACAGAGAGGGGGAGGAAGAAAAAAAAAAGGGCUUGAAACCCAGGAGACACAAAGAACAAACACAGACGAAGGAAGAAGAAAACAAAGAGGGGGAACCGGCAGGAGAGAGAGAGAGUGACCGAGAACGGGGGGGGGGGGGGGGCGAGACCAAGAGAAAAACAGGGCGAACCAACACAGAAACAGGGAAGCAAAACACACACAAAAAAACAGAGAAGAAACCAGAGGAACAAGCAAACACAGACAGAACAAAAAGAGAAGAACGAAUUCGCAGAAUAACAAGAACGAAGAAGGGCGAAGGAGAAAGGCGCUCAGCAGACCAGGUCAGUAACCUUUUCUUCUUGCAUUAUUUCGUUUGAUUAGCAUUUGCACUGUGCAAGUGAAUUUUAAUUCACUUGUGUAUCAACACGCGUGUUGCUAAGCCGAGCCAAAAAAUAAAAAUAUAUAUACAAAAAUGAAAAUUUUGCAUGUCUUAGAAAAAAUAUAUUGUAAAAAUUUAUUCACUGACACGAGGAUUAAGAAUAAAAAAGAUAUACUAAUUUUUUUUAGCUGGAAAUUUUACUAAUAUCAGAAUUAGAAUUAUUCGUAAUAAAAUAUUUACCGACGCUAUAGUUGGAAGUAUUCGAGAUCAAAUAUUCACUGGCGUCAGAGUCAGGAAUAUUAUAAACAAAACAUUAUAGCAUAAGCUAAUAAAUAUUUAGCAAUUUAAGACAAAACCAGCAAUGCAGUCUGCCUCAGGCAGAACGUUUAAGGAGUGAUAAUAUCUUUCCUUUUACAUAACUAGUUCCGUACCAUAGAAUUUUUAUUGACCAGUUAGGGUUUCUAGUGACCAUAAUACUAAGUGACGACUCCUUAAACAAGACUUUUUUCCUAAAAAAAUAAGAUGUCAGAUAUUUUUUUUUAUAAUCAAAAUUAUUUUUAAGGUCGCUGUGAUGUCGGGUGCGACAAAUAUAUUUUUUUUAAAUGUAUUUGAAAAGUCUGUAAUCAUUUGGCAUUAUAAUAUAUAGUAAUCGAUCGACGCAUCUUUUCAUCACUACUCUACCCUUUUUUAUUUGAGUUAGGUAAUGCCCGGGCCCGUGGUAUGGUGCCCAUGAGGCUUUUUAUUUUUGGUAGAACUCGUGGAUAAGUGGAACCAAAAAAGUAGAAUAAAAUAAUGAAAUUUAAUUUUAAAGUAAAGUUUUUCAUGAAAAUGAUUGAAAUACGCUUCUAACAAUAAUUAAUUACGAGAUGUCAAGUCUGCACCAUACCACGGGCUUGUGGUAUGCUUGUACGUUGUCGUGAGUUUGUGAAAAAUAUCAUAAAAAAAAUAAAAAAAAAUCAUAUGGAGAAAAAUUGUUGCAAUCCAUAGUGUUUUCAAGAAAAAAACUACAAGGUUAAAAUUCUUAACUAAUUUAAUAUUAAAAAAAAGAUAAAGAGUCCGUUUGUCUACGCGGUUACGACUACGGUUAAAAUAAAACGCAGCAAAUAUAUGUUUGGUUACAAAAAAAACAUUGUUUGCUAUUCAUGGGUCCCACCUUUUACUGCGUUACAAACUCAGUAAUCGCGAAGUAGCAGGAGGCUGCUUUUGUUUCAACAGUAAACAAUGGGCAACACAUAUUUACGCACUGUGCAUGCUAAUUAAUUAGCAUGCACAGUGUAACUUGCAUACACUGUACACUGUAUGCAUGUUACACUGUACAUGCUAAUUAAUUCGCAUGAACAGUGUAACAUGCAUACAGUUCCGGUUGGACCGGUUCCCGCCAAACCGGUUCCGGUUCAAAGUUUAAAAUACAUUGAAUCAGGUUCAACCCAGUAAAAUAAAAAUUAUUUUUAAUUUUUUAAUUUUUUUUUAUUCGAAAAACUAGUGUUUAACAUUAUUUAAUGAAACUACAUAAAUUAGACAGAGAUCGCUUGAUAAAGUAGCAUUUGCAGAAUUUGAUCGCAAUCCUAAUUUCGUUCUUGAUUAUAUUUUACCUGAUGUUAUUGCGCGCUUAAAAAAUCAAAAAAAUUGUAGUCCUUGUCGGAUGUAUUUCAUACGUGAUGGAAUUGUAGAUAUUUUAAUGGAACAAUAAAAAAUAUUUUAUAUAAAGUAUUAUUUAUUUCAUGAUGUAAUAACAAAAGUUAAAUCUAUAAUAUUUAAAUUAAAAACUAUCAAUAUUAAUAUAUAUUUUUUAAAAUUAUUUUAUAACCUCAAUUUCAAAAGCAUUCUUAACCAAACACAUUAAACUACUUUUUCUUCAACCUCAAUUUCAACCACAGUUUUAACCAAACACCUAUUUUUUCAAACCAAUCUCAACCAAAAGUAUUUUUUAUAAAACAACUUUUUUCAAACCACAACCACAACAGCUACCGCAAUACCAAACACACUCAAAAUCAACAAAGAUAAUUUUGUAAAAACUCAUAACAAAAAAAACGAAAGAAAAAAAAAACCUUGCAGGGAAACACUAUAGUAAUCUAUAGUGUUUCAUGAGGAAAUAUAUAGUUGUAAUUCUCAACCAGCUCAAUAUUGAAAAUAUUAAAAUCAAUAAAGAUAAUUUUAAAAAAAAAUCAUAAUAAAAAAAUCAUGUGGGGGGAACAUUGUAACAAUCCACAGUGUUUUAAAAAAAAAAACUACAAAGCUAAAUUCUCAACCAGCUCAAUAUAUAUAUAAAAAAAUCGACAAAGACAAUUCUGGAAAAAAAAACAAAAAAAUCAUAAAAAAAAAACUAUGUGGGGAAACACUAUAGCAAUUCACAGUGUUUUAAAGAAAAAACUACAAAACUAAAUUCUUAAUCAGCUCAAUAUUAAAAAAAAUAAAAUCGAUAAAAAACAAUUCUAAAAAAAAAGCAAAAAAAAUAAAUAAAAAAGAUAAUUUUGAAAAUAAAAAGCAAAAAAAUAGGAAAUAAAACAUGUGGGGAAAGUUAAAGCUAAAUUCUUAACCAGCUCAAUAUUAAAAAAAAAAUUCAACAAAGAUAAUUUAGAAAAAAAACAUGUGGGGAAACACUGUAGCAAAACAAAAAUAAUAUUGGGAAACAUUGUAGCAACCCAUAGUGUUUUUUUUAGAAAAACUACGAAGCAAAAUUCUCAACCAACUCAGUAUGAAAAAAAUAAAAUCGACAAAGACCGUUUUGGAAAAAAAAAUUCCUUUAAAAAAAAGAAAAAAAAAUCAUGUUGCGAAACAUUAUAGCAAUACAUAAUAUUUUAAAUAAAAAAACUACAAAACUAAAUUCUUAACCAGUUCAAUAUUAAAAAAAAUCGAUAAAGAUAAUUUUAAAAAAAUACAAAAAAAAAAAACAAAAAAACAAAAAAAAGAAGAUAAUCUUGGGAGAAAAAGAAAAAAAAACAUGUAAAAAAAAAAAAAAAAAGCUACAUACUUUCCCACGCAUUUUAAAGUAUUACUUAAUAAUUAGAUAUUGAUUAAAAACAGGCAUCUAAAAUAUAAAUAUGCUAUCAUAUCGAGAGAGGAAUCUUUUCACAAUGAGUGUACAUGUUCGUUUGAAUCCAAAAAAUCUAAAAUAUAAUACAAAAAGUAACAAAGAAGAAGAGAAUGGCCAUUCAUUAAUAGGAUCUGCCAUGUAGAACCUCAAUCUUAACACGAUCCUUCUUACAAAGUACACAACAUUAAAUAAAUAAUCGUGAAUAUUUAAUGAAGAUUAAUGACAGCCGUAGGUAGUAAUUAAGUAGUCGUUGGUCAACAACAAAGCUACAGUCCCAAUCUAGCUGGAUGUGACUCCACAAAGCAGAUUAAAAUUUAAGAACCUUCAAUAUUGUAUACUAUCUCCCCUAAAAAAUAGAUAAUAUUUUUAUAUUAAUUUUGGUUUUAAGUAAACAAUAUAGAGUAUGUGAUAAAAUCAUAGCAGUUCAUUUUUAAUUUAAAAAUUAAGAGUUCCUUCAACAUAUGAGGAUCCAAUAUUUCAAAAUCCAAAUAACCAUUAUAGUUGUUAUAGUUAGAUAAUGUUUGUUUUUGUAUUUAGAAUUGUGCUUGAAUAUGUUUUAAAAGUGUGUUUUGAUUUGAAAACAUGUUAAAUUAUUUUUUUAAAUAUUUUUUAAUUGCUUUGAUAUGCUAGUAUUAAAAAUAAAAAAAAUUAUUUUUAUGUAUUUUCAACUAUAAAAUAAUUUUUAAAAAUAUCACAUAUCAUAAUUCAAUAAUGAAUAUAUAUUUAAACAUCGGUAACAUCCAAAACUACAGACCAACACGAAUUAGGAAAAUAUAUAUUCAUUAAGGAUCACUAAUUUGCAUACAAAAGGACUCAUUAAAUCGACUCUCCUUGGCACACUCUUUAUCGCCCACUUGUUAAUUUCCACUUCCAUCAUCGAUAUGAUCCCUGAAAUUUAUAUAUAAAUUAAAGAAACAAAAACAUGGUUAGUCUAUGUUUGUUUGAUAAUGGUGUGCGGAGUGUUUUUUAAUUAAAAAUAUAUUAAAAUAAUAGUUUUUAGAUUAUUUUUAGUUUUUAAUAUAUAUCUACACAUUAAACCAUACAAAAAAAAACAUUAAUUUAAUAUUUUUUUAAGUGAAAAAUAGUUUAACAAGCAAAUUAAAUAAAAACAAACACUAGUUAAAUCCAAACCUAGCAAGAGAUCACAAGAUCAUCAAAAAUUAAAAAAAAAAGAAAAAUUAAUUAUAAAACAAAACUCAAAUAUUUUGUAAUUGAUAGAAGGUAAAAGAAGACGUAAGGGAGGCGAUUUCUAUUAAAGAGCGAAGAAAAGAUGAAAUAAACACCUCUCUUUCUAUGUAGUUUGUACUUUUUCUAUAAAGAAAAAUAUUAAUGUGGUAAAAACACAACCAUUUAACAUCAUUUAAACACCAUCUAAUGACAAACCGCAUGAUUUGAAAGAAGAAGAUUAUCAAAAAGUAAAAAAAAAAAAGACAAAAAAUAUUUUGUUUUCAGAAACAUACAUACCAUGCAUGUGUGUGCUGAUGGAUGAUAUAUAUGAAACAUGCAUCACUUAGGAGGUUUGCAGUGGCCUGCUCCGGGCAGGUAACUACAAGGAUUAGGGCCUGAUGGCUGAACGUGACGGUUACUUUGUUUUGAAUACAUGCUGCUUGCUCGGAAUUUUGAUUGCUUGGCUGCAAUCACAAGAGUAACAGCAAGGAUGAUC